This 494-nucleotide ribosomal RNA is filed under the name uncultured bacterium. Its description in RNAcentral is "partial 16S ribosomal RNA". It matches the Rfam family "Bacterial small subunit ribosomal RNA", at positions 28 to 507 of the family's 1533-position model. The record is from RNAcentral.
GACGAACGCUGGCGGCGUGCUUAACACAUGCAAGUCGAACGGAAAGGCCUGCUUUCCCUUGUGGAUUGCGGGUACUCGAGUGGCGAACGGGUGAGUAACACGUGAGUGAUCUGCCCCCAACUUGGGUAUAAGCCUGGGAAACUGGGUCUAAUUCCCGAUAGGACUGCAGGGUGGUGCCUGUGGUGGAAAACGAUUUUCUAGUGGUUGGGGAUGAGCUCGCGGCCUAUCAGCUUGUUGGUGGGGUAAUGGCCUACCAAGGCGGCGACGGGUAGCCGGCCUGGGAGGGUGGACGGCCACAUUGGGACUGAGAUACGGCCCAGACUCCUACGGGAGGCAGCAGUGGGGAAUAUGACACAAUGGGCGGAAGCCUGAUGCAGCGACGCCGCGUGGGGGAUGACGGCCUUCGGGUUGUAAACUCCUUGCGACCGCGAGGAAGCCACCUGGUUGGAAGGGUGGUGACGGUAGUGGUAGAAGAAGCACCGGCUAACUACGUG